CGGCGGACGGGUGAGUAACGCGUGGGUAACCUACCCUGUACACACGGAUAACAUACCGAAAGGUAUGCUAAUACGGGAUAAUAUAUUUGAGAGGCAUCUCUUGAAUAUCAAAGGUGAGCCAGUACAGGAUGGACCCGCGUCUGGUUAGCUAGUUGGUAAGGUAACGGCUUACCAAGGCGACGAUCAGUAGCCGACCUGAGAGGGUGAUCGGCCACAUUGGAACUGAGACACGGUCCAA
RNAcentral lists this ribosomal RNA (238 nucleotides) under uncultured bacterium. RNAcentral describes it as "partial 16S ribosomal RNA". It matches the Rfam family "Bacterial small subunit ribosomal RNA", at positions 96 to 334 of the family's 1533-position model. The record is from RNAcentral.